GUGCGCAGAUGUGCCCAGCAUCUGCGCACAUCUGCCUUAAUAUAUAGCUGUGCCCCCUCAGUAUACAAUAUAUAGCUGUGCCCCCUUAGUAUAAAUAUAUAGCUGUGCCCCCUUACUAAAUAUAUAUAUAUUUUAUUAUGAGAUAUCCC
Bufo bufo (common toad) is the source of this 149-nucleotide long non-coding RNA. RefSeq lists it as uncharacterized. The transcript has 3 exons. Lineage: Eukaryota; Metazoa; Chordata; Amphibia; Anura; Bufonidae. The record is from RefSeq and is a predicted model, not a curated record.